GCCAAAGGUAAACUACAAAUCUCCA
Molecule: non-coding RNA, 25 nt
Filed under: Arabidopsis thaliana (thale cress)
Lineage: Eukaryota; Viridiplantae; Streptophyta; Magnoliopsida; Brassicales; Brassicaceae
Source: RNAcentral